GACGAACGCUGGCGGCGUGCCUAAUACAUGCAAGUCGAACGAGUGGCGGACGGGUGAGUAACACGUGGGAACCUACCCAUCAGAGGGGGAUAACACUUGGAAACAGGUGAUAAUACCGCAUAGAUGGAUGGACACGGGGGGCAUUAUCUAGUUGGUGAAGUAACGGCUCACCUAGGCGACGAUCUCUAGCUGGUCUUAGAGGAUGAUCAGCCACACUGUGACUGAGACACGGCCCAGACUCCUACGGGAGGCAGCAGUGGGGAAUAUUGUACAAUGGGCGCAAGCCUGAUGCAGCCAUGCCGCGUGUAUGAAGAAGGCCUUAGGGUUGUAAAGUACUUUCAGCGGGGAGGCGUUACCCGCAGAAGAAGCACCGGCUAACUCCGUGCCAGCAGCCGCGGUAAUUC
This 404-nucleotide ribosomal RNA is filed under the name uncultured bacterium. RNAcentral's name for it is "partial 16S ribosomal RNA". It matches the Rfam family "Bacterial small subunit ribosomal RNA", at positions 28 to 526 of the family's 1533-position model. The record is from RNAcentral.